UACGUAGGGGGGCAAGCGUUGUCCGGAUUUAUUGGGCGUAAAGAGCGUGUAGGCGCCACACAGGUCUGCUGUGAAAACUCGAGGCUCAACCUCGAGCUGUCGGUGGAAACCGUGUGGCUAGAGUCCGGAAGAGGAGAGUGGAAUUCCCGGUGUAGCGGUGAAAUGCGCAGAUAUCGGGAAGAACACCCGUGGCGAAGGCGGCUCUCUGGGACGGUACUGACGCUGAGACGCGAAAGCGUGGGGAGCGAACAGG
Molecule: ribosomal RNA, 253 nt
Filed under: uncultured bacterium
Lineage: Bacteria
Description: partial 16S ribosomal RNA
Rfam family: Bacterial small subunit ribosomal RNA
Source: RNAcentral